AACGCAUAUUGCGCUCUCUGGUAUUCCGGAGAGCAUGCUUGUUUGAGUAUCAGUAAACACCCCUCAGAACUUCUUGAUUUUCGAAUCUUGGAGCUCUGGAUUUGAGUGAUCCCAACGCGUUCUUUCGCAGAACAUGGCGGGCCACUUGAAAUGCAGGUGCAGCUGGACUUUCUUCUGAGCUAAAAGCAUAUUUAUUUAGUCCUGUCAACACUUGUGUUGCGGAUUAUUACUUCUGCUGCAGCUAACAUAAAGGUUGAUUGUUCAAAUGCUGACUGAUGCAGGAUUUAUCAGUAGCGUAAGCUAUCUGUUAAACUCGAUCUCAAAUCAAGUAAGACUACCCGCUGAACUUAA
RNAcentral lists this unclassified non-coding RNA (351 nucleotides) under uncultured fungus. RNAcentral describes it as "sequence contains ITS2". The stretch from base 1 to 52 matches the Rfam family "5.8S ribosomal RNA", at positions 103 to 154 of the family's 154-position model. Lineage: Eukaryota; Fungi. The record is from RNAcentral.